RNAcentral lists this long non-coding RNA (880 nucleotides) under Heterocephalus glaber (naked mole-rat). RNAcentral's name for it is "lncRNA (ENSHGLG00000036133.1)". Lineage: Eukaryota; Metazoa; Chordata; Mammalia; Rodentia; Bathyergidae. The record is from RNAcentral.
CUUUGAAAUUGUCUCUUCAUCUUUCUUUAGCCCUCGCUGCACCCCUCUCUAGGCAGAUCUGAGGAUUGAUCAGCCUCUGACAGUGACAGGUACUAAUGUCCCAUUCCUGUGGCAGAUCCUGAUGUGAACAGACCUGGGGCCCUCCUGGCAGCAGAGGGGCAGCAGACAGGCGCUGAUUGCUGAUGUGGACCAUCCUGGAGUUAACAGAUGGCUGAGACAGACUGCAGCCCCAGGCCAGGCUCCUGCAUGCCCUCCCCAGGAUGCCUCCAAGGUCUGGUCACUAGUACCACCGCCUGACUGACCCGUCACGGAGUCGGACAUGUCAGACAGCAGACCGGGCAAGUAUAGCCCUUCCCCCAGUGGCUGCCACGGAAAUGUAGCCCCUGGUCUGUGAAGUGGCAGGGCUCUGCUGAGUUACGUGCAGCUGAGGUCAGUGUGACCCUAAUUAAAAUCUUUUCCUCUGAAUUAUGGCUUCUCACUGACCUUGUUGGUGACUAGCUAAUUGUACCUGUACCGAUUUGUUCUGUCCAAGCAAGAUAAGCAGUACUUAUUCCCUAACAUCUCUUACUGAUGCUAUCAUGUCAGAUGUUCCACAGUACCUCACUAGAUGCCUUCAAAGCAUACCUGGCUCCUUAUUCCUUCCCACGAUUGUAUUCAAUAAAUACUGGAUGUGCUUGGGGGCCUUUGUCUUUAGUUGCCCAGAGCAGCACUGAUCAGGUCCCAAGACCCAGCUUCUUCACUCUAAGUCUAGUUUCCUGUCUUAUUCUUUAAUUCGCCUUGUGCUGUAGUGGCUCACAGGAAGCUGGGACCCAUGGCAGGUGGCAGAGGUUCUGGCAAUGUCCCCUUUCCUGUUUCCUAUACUAGUGGAUCUGGGUUUGAC